RNAcentral lists this long non-coding RNA (688 nucleotides) under Nicotiana tabacum (common tobacco). RNAcentral's name for it is "long non-coding RNA (NTAB_LNC006473)". The record is from RNAcentral. Lineage: Eukaryota; Viridiplantae; Streptophyta; Magnoliopsida; Solanales; Solanaceae.
AACCCUAAUGCUGACUGAAUGGAAAAAGUUCAGUUUAGGGUUUAAAACCCUAAUGCUGACUAAAGGGAAAAAGUUCAGUUUAGGGUUUAAAACCCUAAUCCUGAUUAGAGGGAAAAGUUCAGUUUAGGGUUUAAAACCCUAAUGCUGACUAAAGGAAAAGAGUUCAGUUUAGGGUUUAAAACCCUAAUGCUGACUGAAGGGGAGAGUUCAGUUUAGGGUUUAAAACUCUAAUGCUGACUAAAGGAAAGAGUUCAGUUUAGGGUUUAAAACCCUAAUGUUGACUGAAUGGAAAGAGUUCAGUUUAGGGUUUAAAACCCUAAUGCUGACUGAAUGGAAAGAGUUCAGUUUAGGGUUUAAAACCCUAAUGCUGACUGAAUGGAAAAAGUUCAGUUUAGGGUUUAAAACCCUAAUCCCGACUAAAGGGAAAAGUUCAGUUUAGGGUUUAAAACCCUAAUCCUGAUUAAAGGGAAAGAGUUCAGUUUAGGGUUUAAAACCCUAAUGCUGACUGAAGGGGAGAGUUCAGUUUAGGGUUUAAAACCCUAAUGUUGACUGAAUGGAAAGAGUUUAGUUUAGGGUUUAAAACCCUAAUGCUGACUGAAUGGAAAGAGUUCAGUUUAGGGUUUAAAACCCUAAUGCUGACUGAAUAGAAAGAGUUCAGUUUAGGGUUUUAAACCCUAAUGCUGACUAA